Molecule: long non-coding RNA, 1526 nt
Organism: Solea senegalensis (Senegalese sole)
Lineage: Eukaryota; Metazoa; Chordata; Actinopteri; Pleuronectiformes; Soleidae
Exons: 3
Source: RefSeq, a predicted model, not a curated record
GGUCCGGGCUGUCCCGCAGCAGGCAACGGGACAAGGACGGGCACCAGCCACAGGACUGAUCGGACAGACACGCCAGGCAGGACAUGUAGCCCGAGCAGGAACCUGAGCGGUAAGGCUCCAAGAACAGGAAGGAGAUUUCCUACAAGGAGAGCAAGUUAUACGUAAGGGCCAUCUCACUGGUUUGUCCUGAACCGGAGUUGUUCAGGUAACCCUCAGCCUGAACAAGGUAAUGAUUGCCCCUGGUCAGGUUAGAGAACAGCCUACUGCCAUCUGAGCGCGACAAUAUCUUCAACUCCUUUUCCUGCUGAGCUGCCCAACGACCCACCACCUCCUGGAUUCAGGAAGAAGAAAAAAUGUUAGGUGGCUAAGGGAAAAUAAACAGGCAAUAAUUAUUUUCCAAUUUAAUAUUUGUCCUUUCAAAUAAUUGCAGCUACGGCUCAUGUGUUGAAAUGAAAUCAUCUGGGAGUUUUUGAAGACUUGGCACAGCAACAAAACACUACAAAGACACACACAGUUGGCUGGAGUUGGGACCCGAUGCCACUCGAGCCUCAAAAUGGAGCCUCUGAAUGCGAGCCCACAUGGAGACGGUCUCGGUGGGAGGAGAGGCGUGUGGGGGAGCCCCCCACAACGGGUGUAUGAAGCCCCUGAACUGCAGAGCGACGUCCAUUUCUGUGGUGGGGCUAAGGAUGAUGUUGGAGCUGCGGAGGAUGGAAACCUAGCGAAGGGUUGAGGAGGGUGAAGGACAAAGGAGGAUGGAUGGAAGUGGAAACACAUCAACAGCAGCACUAAUCUCUACACACCACUCCACAAGUCUGACAUACACUACUUACAAAAGGGAACCUUAACUACAAGCAUAGUGCAAAACAAACAAUUAGGAAAUAAAGAGAAACGAUAGUUGGAGUUUUUCGACGUGUGAGGUACUGACAAAUAGACAGUGGGCGUGCUAACCCUCACUGGCUAACCCUCUGCAAGGAACCACUUGCUCUCGCUGAAAAGAUGGCUGCCAGCGGGGACACAAGGAAAACUGAUCCGGUAGAAUAUGUUUGCCACUUUAUUGUUCUAUUUUCCAGCAGAGGACAGACGUUUGUAAACCGCUCACUCUCCCACACCAAAUUCUGCAAUGAAAAUGAGCAUUUUUAGCAGCACUGUUUGAUAAGUUUGUGUCAUUUAGAUAAAUCUGAAUUUCAAAAGCCAGAGCAACAAAAUAGACCUACAUCUCCUCUGUGCUGUGAGUAAAAUUGGACUUUGGUUCAGGAGAGUGAAUGGUUUACAAAGAGACACAACUUCAUUUCAAGUUCUAAGAAAAAGACUGUCUAAUGGUAAGAUAAAGUGGGAAACAAUUCUUAGGAUACCGUUGACUUGAACAUUGUAUAUAUCAUAAGGUGAACCUUUUGUUAAGUGGCUAAAAUACAGUUUCCAGGACAGCAGGUGUCCGUGUCCAGGCUGGUUCUGAGCGCUGACUAUGUGUCUGUAACUCACAGAAGUGUACACAAGGAAAAAUGAACAAUAAAAGAGAAACUAACACA